This 251-nucleotide ribosomal RNA is filed under the name uncultured Bacillota bacterium. RNAcentral's name for it is "uncultured Firmicutes bacterium partial 16S ribosomal RNA". It matches the Rfam family "Bacterial small subunit ribosomal RNA", at positions 796 to 1041 of the family's 1533-position model. Lineage: Bacteria; Bacillati; Bacillota. The record is from RNAcentral.
CACGCCGUAAACGAUGGGUACUAGGUGUAGGAGGUAUCGACCCCUUCUGUGCCGGAGUUAACACAAUAAGUACCCCGCCUGGGGACUACGGCCGCAAGGCUAAAACUCAAAGGAAUUGACGGGGGCCCGCACAAGCGGUGGAGCAUGUGGUUUAAUUCGACGCAACGCGAAGAACCUUACCAGGGCUUGACAUCCUCUGACGCCCAUAGAGAUAUGGGGUUUGGUCUUCGGACUGACAGAGAGACAGGUGG